This 468-nucleotide ribosomal RNA is filed under the name uncultured bacterium. RNAcentral describes it as "partial 16S ribosomal RNA". It matches the Rfam family "Bacterial small subunit ribosomal RNA", at positions 28 to 507 of the family's 1533-position model. The record is from RNAcentral.
GACGAACGCUGGCGGCGUGCUUAACACAUGCAAGUCGAACGGAAAGGCCCUGCUUUUGUGGGGUGCUCGAGUGGCGAACGGGUGAGUAACACGUGAGUAACCUGCCCUUGACUUUGGGAUAACUUCAGGAAACUGGGGCUAAUACCGGAUAGGAGCUCCUGCUGCAUGGUGGGGGUUGGAAAGUUUCGGCGGUUGGGGAUGGACUCGCGGCUUAUCAGCUGGUUGGUGGGGUAGUGGCUUACCAAGGCUUUGACGGGUAGCCGGCCUGAGAGGGUGACCGGCCACAUUGGGACUGCGAUACGGCCCAGACUCCUACCGGACGCAGCAGUGGGGAAUAUUGCGCAAUGGGCGGAAGCCUGAUGCAGCAACGCCGCGUGCGGGAUGACGGCCUUCGGGUUGUAAACCGCUUUCGCCUGUGCCGAAGCGUGAGUGACGGUAAUGGGUAAAGAAGCACCGGCUAACUACGUG